AUACGAAGGGGGCUAGCGUCGCUCGGAAUUACUGGGCGUAAAGGGAGCGUAGGCGGACAUUUAAGUCAGGGGUGAAAUCCCGGGGCUCAACCUCGGAAUUGCCUUUGAUACUGGGUGUCUUGAGAGUGAGAGAGGUAUGUGGAACUCCGAGUGUAGAGGUGAAAUUCGUAGAUAUUCGGAAGAACACCAGUGGCGAAGGCGACAUACUGGCUCAUUACUGACGCUGAGGCUCGAAAGCGUGGGGAGCAAACAGGAUUAGAAACCCUAGUAGUCC
This 274-nucleotide ribosomal RNA is filed under the name uncultured bacterium. Its description in RNAcentral is "partial 16S ribosomal RNA". It matches the Rfam family "Bacterial small subunit ribosomal RNA", at positions 523 to 796 of the family's 1533-position model. The record is from RNAcentral.